Molecule: ribosomal RNA, 164 nt
Filed under: Centratherum punctatum
Lineage: Eukaryota; Viridiplantae; Streptophyta; Magnoliopsida; Asterales; Asteraceae
Description: 5.8S ribosomal RNA
Rfam family: 5.8S ribosomal RNA
About the family: 5.8S ribosomal RNA (5.8S rRNA) is a component of the large subunit of the eukaryotic ribosome. It is transcribed by RNA polymerase I as part of the 45S precursor that also contains 18S and 28S rRNA.
Source: RNAcentral
UAWACGACUCUCGGCAACGGAUAUCUUGGCUCACGCAUCGAUGAAGAACGUAGCAAAAUGCGAUACUUGGUGUGAAUUGCAGAAUCCCGUGAACCAUCGAGUUUUUGAACGCAAGUUGCGCCCGAAGCCAUUCGGUCGAGGGCACGUCUGCCUGGGCGUCACGC